RNAcentral lists this small nucleolar RNA (153 nucleotides) under Zea mays. RNAcentral describes it as "Zm_55". The record is from RNAcentral. Lineage: Eukaryota; Viridiplantae; Streptophyta; Magnoliopsida; Poales; Poaceae.
ACGGCAUCAUUAGACGAACGGGUGCCCUCCGGCGAUCCAUGGAGGUUUUUGCCCUUUGCAAGGUGCCCAGAUAGACGCCUACACACGAUUGGACGAGGGGCAUCAAGCGUCAUGUACGUUUCUGCCUCGUCCAAAUUUCAUAUGGCUAUAUCA